Molecule: long non-coding RNA, 216 nt
Filed under: Panax ginseng (ginseng)
Lineage: Eukaryota; Viridiplantae; Streptophyta; Magnoliopsida; Apiales; Araliaceae
Description: long non-coding RNA (PGIN_LNC004745)
Source: RNAcentral
GCUGAUGCAUUAUCAAGAGUUCCUAAAAGGGAAUUACAGUGUUCUGUACUAUCGGGGUUGGUGCCUACUUGGAUGAGAGAUAUUUCUGAAACUUAUGAAGGGGAUGCAUUUGCUCAAGAUCUCAUAGCUCAAUGUGUAAUAGAUACUAAUAUUGUUGGACCUGUUUUCACUUUUCACAAUGGGGUUUUAAGGAAGCAUGGAGUGAUUUAUAUAGGG